CUGAGAGUACCCCUAAAAGGUUCGGGAAUUCUUCAUUCGAUAGUUUAAAGUUUUGUGGUUGUUCGAGUUGAAGAGGUGGAAUCGUCUCCCUUGAACCCGUUGUCCGGUUAGCUGCUCGGAAAGAGGUAAAUUAUUUCUUUAACUUUGUUUUCCUUUUAAUUUCUAGUUCUAUUAUGUAUGUGUUCUUAGCUUUGUACGUGUUUUAACUGGGUUUUAGUCUCCGUAUGCUAGAAUUUGGUUGAUGGGUAUUAGCUAGUAAUAUCCCUUUCAUUAUUUUCAGUUUUUUGUUUUCAUAAUUAGUUUCCACUACCUGUAUGUGUUUAAUUCUGCCUAAGCUGUGAUUUUUUAUAUAUCUUGCUUCACCAGCCUUUAGAAUUUGUUUAUUUUGGGAAAAUUAAAUAAUAUUGUUGUUGUUCGAGCUUUUGCUGAAUUAGUAUAGCUUCAUUCAUGUCUGUCCUAAUUCUUUGAGCAAUCAGUUUAGUCUAAAGAUAUGUUGUACAGCUUAGGAGUUCAAGUUUCAUCAUACAUAUGCCUCUGAGAUAAUAUGCAGUUUGUGUUCUCUUGUGCAUUUCGUAGAUAUAUGGCUUCAAUAUAUAUAUAUAUAUAUAUAUAUUUCUUUUUUGAUGUUCAUUCUUGUUGUUGUUUAAUUGUUUGGUAUCCAUGCGUUGCUUUCAAGAGUUAUGGUAGGCUGUAUGAUUGAAUGGUCAUUAGUUUUUCUACUCGUAUUUUUUUUACUUCAUAUUAGUGAAAUUAGUUUUAACAGUUAGUCUUCAAAUUUCCUUAUAGGACUAUCAAUUGCUUAUUUUACUGAGAAUACAUGUGUAUACCAUUAUUUGUUUAUAUGCUAUGUUAGUAUACUCCUUUACAGUGCAUGUGUAAGAAUAUAUUUGAGUUGAUAAUUAGUAUUUCGUCUCUUCUCUUAGAAAUAGGUUUAGGCUCUGUGAUUAGAUUUUAGAUAUUGUGUACCUAUUUAAAUUGUUGUGAUCAAAAUAUGAAGUUUAGUAUAUAAUGUCUAAUCCAUGCUAUUGUUUGAAAGUUUCGUGCCUAUUCGGAAGUUUGCCCGUGAGGUUUGGUUUAUUAUUAUAAAUAAUUUGAGUGUCUAGAUUUAUUAUUAAGAUGAAAGGAUUCAUUGCUGCAUCCAAGUGAUUUGUUUGAAUAUUUUUGUAAAGUCUUAUCAUGUUAAGUUAUUAAUUUUUAUCUCAUUUUGCGCAUGAACUCUCUUGUUCGAGUCCAAUUGGACCAUCUCUUGCAUACUCCACUUCUUGAGUCAACCUCAUCGAAGUCGUGAAAGAGAAGCUAAUAUUAUUGGGUUAAAUCCCAAAUCAGUGGCAGCAGAAGUAGCGGCAUAAUAGCAAUCCCAAAUGGCCGAAAAUUGAAUUUUGGAUUUUAGAAUCCAAUUCAAUUGCAGCAGUAGCAGCAGCAGUCCCAAAGGGACUAAAAUUGGAAAUUUUUGGACUUUAAUAAGUCCAAUUCGCAGCAGUAGCAGCAGCCCCCAAAGGGCUAAAAUUUUUGGGACUUAGGACUUAAAGGUCAGAUUUGAGCAUAAGCGUCAAAAGUGGUUCGAGUAUUAAGUCCAGUGGCUUGAUUUGGAGACAUGCUUUAUUUCCUUUCUUUCUCUUAUUAUUUGUUUAUUGAUUGAUUGUGAAUUAACUUUUUAUCUAAUUCAGAUGAAUCCUUGGGAGUUUUUAAAUAACUCUUCUAUUUCGUUA
RNAcentral lists this long non-coding RNA (1709 nucleotides) under Solanum tuberosum (potato). Its description in RNAcentral is "long non-coding RNA (STUB_LNC008893)". The record is from RNAcentral. Lineage: Eukaryota; Viridiplantae; Streptophyta; Magnoliopsida; Solanales; Solanaceae.